CAACAACAGAUCACAUUGGUUUUGAUGAGAAGAAUUUGAACUUAAACUUAAAGGAGCAUAGACUUUGAAAGUAUGAUAUUUCACGUGCCAAAUGGAUACAGAAUCUACUUCCCUAUUUCUGUGCCUGGCAGAUAAAUUUAGGUAUUAAUAAGUGAAACCUUGAAAAGAUUUCCAGAAACAUUCUUUUAUGUGUUGGAUCUCAAACAUUUUCUUCCCCUAACUCCCUAGGGACCCGCAAAGGUGGAAAAAAAGUCAACCCAAAAAACUGCAAUUACCACGACUCAAUGGGAAGUUACCCAUAUUCUAAAAUCUGCGCGGAAAGAGUUCGAGAUGGGGUAAAGGAGGUGAAGGUGAGGUGGCUGCCAUGCCCCAAAUGCAAUUUGAGGUGGAAAGAUUCUUGGGUCCCUAAAACAGAGCUGGAAUAAUCCGGACAGAGGAGGAUGCAGCUUAUAUUUCUGCUUGUUUGACGUGUAAUUUGUUAUUUUAGAUGUUAUUGUAUAUUGUGUUAAUGUUACAUUUACUGUUUCUUGUUCUAUUUUACUGUUUUUAAAUAAAAUGU
Pleuronectes platessa (European plaice) is the source of this 559-nucleotide long non-coding RNA. RefSeq lists it as uncharacterized. The transcript has 4 exons. The record is from RefSeq and is a predicted model, not a curated record. Lineage: Eukaryota; Metazoa; Chordata; Actinopteri; Pleuronectiformes; Pleuronectidae.